RNAcentral lists this unclassified non-coding RNA (742 nucleotides) under uncultured Prochlorococcus sp. Its description in RNAcentral is "partial may contain 16S ribosomal RNA, 16S-23S ribosomal RNA intergenic spacer, and 23S ribosomal RNA". The stretch from base 339 to 411 matches the Rfam family "tRNA". Lineage: Bacteria; Bacillati; Cyanobacteriota; Cyanophyceae; Synechococcales; Prochlorococcaceae. The record is from RNAcentral.
GAGAAGGACGCCGAAGGUGGGGCUGAUGACUGGGGUGAAGUCGUAACAAGGUAGCCGUACCGGAAGGUGCGGCUGGAUCACCUCCUAACAGGGAGACAAUAAAUUGAUUGUGAUGUCUAAGUUAUUUAUUCUUAGGCCGCAAUCCUGUCACCUUAAGGUCGAUCGGUACCUCAGAUUUUUGAAUUAGUUUUAKAAUUGAUUCUUUGAUUUCAGUUCCUAAACUUGUCUAGGUCACACCCAACAAAGGUUUCUCCUGGGCCAUUAGCUCAGGUGGUUAGAGCGCACCCCUGAUAAGGGUGAGGUCCCUGGUUCAAGUCCAGGAUGGCCCAUUCGUUGUUGGGGGUAUAGCUCAGUUGGUAGAGCGCCUGCUUUGCAAGCAGGAUGUCAGCGGUUCGAGUCCGCUUACCUCCACUGAAAACUAUCCUGAUAACUAAAUUUCUGGAGAAAAAAAUUGUAGAUGUGGCUUAGAAUUGUCUAUUUGAAAAGAACCUAGCUUCUUGUCAUCUUUUUAUAGUUGAUAAAAUGCUGGGCUCGCAUGGAUUAUUUCCAUGAGAWUUCAGUAGAACCUUGAAAACUGCAUAGAUUAGAAAGAAUAAAGCAUCUCAUGGAUGCAUAGUUCUGUUUUUAUAAUUUAGCCUCAAAACUAAAUUAUUUAAUUCUAGAAUUCAUGUUUAAUUCUUGAGUAAUAGCCGAGCACAAUWGAUUUUGUGAUUGUAUUUAAGGUCAAGCUACAAAGGGCUCA